This is a long non-coding RNA of Xenopus laevis (African clawed frog), 1096 nucleotides long. RefSeq lists it as uncharacterized. Lineage: Eukaryota; Metazoa; Chordata; Amphibia; Anura; Pipidae. The transcript is spliced from 3 exons. The record is from RefSeq and is a predicted model, not a curated record.
AGCAGGUGUAAGGCAUGUAGUGGGAUUCGAGUUUCACAAAAUUUCAUAUGAAGUUGCAACAUCCGGCCCCUGUGGAUAUUUAGUUCCAAAUUAUUGAUAAGCCCCAGAUGGAGAUUAGGAAAGGCGACGUGAAUAAAAGGCUCUUGGGUAAAGGGACACACUGGAUCUACCACCUUAACACUAUAGAGGAACAUGGUGGUAUGAACCAGGAUUGGGAAUUGUCCUGUUUUCUCAGUUAGUAUUUUGUCUUCCUGAACAGUGGGUGACCCGACAUAUAAUGUUUUUAGGUAUUUACAAUUUUUAUAUGUUUUUUGUAUUAGUGUUUUCUAACACAUUCUUUAAAGGUGAACCAAGGGUUAAUAUGGUCGUUGUGGUGAACUAAGGGUUAAUGAUUUUAUGGGUGGGUUUAUUUGCACUUAGGGGUAUUUAUGUCUGAUUUCUGUGUGAACCAGUGUGCUUUUGAGAAAGUGACUGAAUAGUCACGAAACGCGUUAAGCUGUGGUUUUGUAACGGAAUAAUAAUGGAACAAUAAAAUAUGGAUUUUUAAAGUGACUUUCAAGUCUAUUUAUCUCCCCCCAUGGUGCACCAUAUUCACUUCUAAACGCUCUUUCUAUAGGUAUCAGGGUUGUGGCUUCUCUUUCCAGUUGCCGUUGAAAAUCUGGAGGAGUGUGGGAAUUAUUUCUUCUCUGGUGAUAGCGUCUGGGAGUCGGUUCUGGUCCCCAUGCUCUCCAGUUCCUGCUGAUUCCAUGGAGCUCCUUGCGCAUUUCAUCGGUCAUCGUGUGCAGCAUCUCCUUGAUAUCGCUCUUGGAAGAUCAGACUCUGCAGGAAUGAAGUUUCCCAUCCAUGAACAAUGGCAUCUGAGGUGGCUUCCCUGCACUUGAACCCCACUGCUACACCCACUGACUGGCAUCAAGCAAAUCCGCUCCCCCAGGGCUCAGGACAGGGGCCCCCAUUACUGGUCUCAUUAUAGCACAAUACCAAGUGGCAAGUAAGUUAAUUAAGCAAUAUCAAUAUCAUUAAACAGUAUCUUUGUCUAGAACAGGACUAUGGUCUGUAUUCAGUAAAUAAUUAGAAAUAUUAAAGAUAAUGCAAACUA